AAUUCGUUUGGUGGAUAGUGUAUACACUUCUACUUCCGAGCGUUUAAUUGUUUAUUUUCCAAUCAUGUAAACACAGCCAGACGUAUUUUUACUCUGUAUAUAUUAAACGCCUCAAUUUGUAUAUAUAUGCAGUGCUCCGUUCUCAUCGCUUUACAUAAUUGCAUUUUAUCUCUUCGCACCGCAGAACGUUGAAAUAUCUGGCGGUUUGGAGUAAAGCAGCGCUUACGUUUUGACCAGAGUUGGUGAUUUUUCAACAGAUUGAACAAACAUUUCCCAGCCUUUUGAACUUAUCGGGUUUUUAGUCCAAAUAAACUUUCCAAUCCUUAAGAGUAAACUCUGGGAUAUAAACAAAAGUUGUUGAUGCUAACUUAGAAGAAGGGACGGUUGGUUUUGAAGAUGGUUUUGGAUUCUUCCAGUUGUGACUCAAGAAUCGACUGGGAAGGAUCUUUUCUUGGUCCAGGAUUUUUGGGACAAGGUAUUUUCACCAAUUUUGGGUCAUUGUAUGCCAAAUUUAAGGCUACAUUUUCUUGAAUGAGGAUUUUAUCUUCAAUGUCAUUGCAACGCAAAAUGAUAUAUCAAUAUUGAAACUUUCGUCCAAACAGAAUAACACAUCCUGGUUAGAUCGCAAAUAUCAUGAUACUGAAAUUACAAUCUAGCCAAAUCAGCGAGUUACACCAUAAUAUGGCAACCCUGACACCAGCAGAAUGAUCAAAGUAGGAGCAUCCUUGAGAAAAAGAAGAGCACACGGGACAAGUCGGCGUAUCCGUCAACACCCUAUCGGAGCGAGGCGGGGCUUCGGGAACGCGAUCGUAUUUUUGCUCCUCCGCCAAUAAAGGCCGACAAUGGAGAACAAGAGAAAGGGGGAUUGUUUAUACAAUUCGAACAAGGACCACCCGGUCAAUGGGCGGAAACAGAAGCACCAAAUAACGACAUCAUUAUAAGAAAUAAUGGCAAAUGAAAUGGAAAUUUUAUGUAAAAUUGCAGAUGAAUACGAUUUUUUGCAUGUUAAGGAAUGCUCUUGCAUUGUUAGUGUUGGAACUAGAUUUUUGGUAGCCCUUUCCAGAUAAAUGAUAGUGACCUUC
Argiope bruennichi is the source of this 1082-nucleotide long non-coding RNA. RefSeq lists it as uncharacterized. Lineage: Eukaryota; Metazoa; Arthropoda; Arachnida; Araneae; Araneidae. The record is from RefSeq and is a predicted model, not a curated record. The transcript is spliced from 2 exons.